Molecule: unclassified non-coding RNA, 167 nt
Filed under: uncultured fungus
Lineage: Eukaryota; Fungi
Description: sequence contains ITS2
Source: RNAcentral
CACCCUUCAAGCGUCAGCUUGGUCUUGGGCGCUCGUCCCGCGAGGGACGUGCCCGAAAAUGAGUGGCGGUCCGGUCGAGACUUCGGGCGUAGUAAAAUUUUCUCUCGCUCUGGAAGACUUCUCCUCCGGCCGGCCAGGUCCCCGGACCACUCCAUUAUUUUACCACA